This is a small nuclear RNA of Ochotona princeps (American pika), 108 nucleotides long. The record is from RefSeq and is a predicted model, not a curated record. Lineage: Eukaryota; Metazoa; Chordata; Mammalia; Lagomorpha; Ochotonidae.
GUUCUCUCUUUGGCAGCACAUAUACUAAAAUUGGAACAAUACACAGAAGAAUAACAUGGCCUCUGCGUAAGGAUGACACGCAAAAGAUAUGAUUACGUUGUAGUGGUU